This 435-nucleotide ribosomal RNA is filed under the name uncultured Barnesiella sp. Its description in RNAcentral is "bacterial SSU rRNA". It matches the Rfam family "Bacterial small subunit ribosomal RNA", at positions 349 to 782 of the family's 1533-position model. Lineage: Bacteria; Pseudomonadati; Bacteroidota; Bacteroidia; Bacteroidales; Barnesiellaceae. The record is from RNAcentral.
CAGCAGUGAGGAAUAUUGGUCAAUGGGAGAGAUCCUGAACCAGCCAAGCCGCGUGAGGGAAGACGGCCCUAUGGGUUGUAAACCUCUUUUGUCGGAGAACAAAACCCGGGACGUGUCCCGGACUGCGUGUAUCCGAAGAAAAAGCAUCGGCUAACUCCGUGCCAGCAGCCGCGGUAAUACGGAGGAUGCGAGCGUUAUCCGGAUUUAUUGGGUUUAAAGGGUGCGUAGGCGGUCCGUUAAGUCAGCGGUAAAAUUGCGGGGCUCAACCCCGUCGAGCCGUUGAAACUGGCAGACUUGAGUUGGCGAGAAGUACGCGGAAUGCGCGGUGUAGCGGUGAAAUGCAUAGAUAUCGCGCAGAACUCCGAUUGCGAAGGCAGCGUACCGGCGCCAGACUGACGCUGAGGCACGAAAGCGUGGGGAUCGAACAGGAUUAGA